This 131-nucleotide small nucleolar RNA is filed under the name Accipiter nisus (Eurasian sparrowhawk). RNAcentral's name for it is "Small nucleolar RNA SNORD22 (ENSANIG00000003984.1)". It matches the Rfam family "Small nucleolar RNA SNORD22". Rfam says of the family: U22 is a member of the C/D class of snoRNA which contain the C (UGAUGA) and D (CUGA) box motifs. Lineage: Eukaryota; Metazoa; Chordata; Aves; Accipitriformes; Accipitridae. The record is from Rfam by way of RNAcentral.
CCCCCGUGAGGAAAACCCCACGUGUCUGACCCCCUGCCCCCCCACCAGAACCUGCUCAAGGUUGAACCCACUGGUGACAUGGGGAGGGGGGGGAAGACGACGCCUCGUCCUGAGUGGACGGUCUGAGGGGG